RNAcentral lists this unclassified non-coding RNA (353 nucleotides) under soil metagenome. RNAcentral's name for it is "partial contains 5.8S ribosomal RNA, internal transcribed spacer 2, and large subunit ribosomal RNA". The stretch from base 1 to 120 matches the Rfam family "5.8S ribosomal RNA", at positions 35 to 154 of the family's 154-position model. The record is from RNAcentral.
GAUGAAGAACGUAGCGAAAUGCGAUAAGUAAUGUGAAUUGCAGAAUUCAGUGAAUCAUCGAAUCUUUGAACGCACAUUGCGCCCGCCAGUAUUCUGGCGGGCAUGCCUGUUCGAGCGUCAUUACAACCCUCAGGCCCCCGGGCCUGGCGUUGGGGAUCGGCGGAAGCCCCCUGCGGGCACAACGCCGUCCCCCAAAUACAGUGGCGGUCCCGCCGCAGCUUCCAUUGCGUAGUAGCUAUCACCUCGCAACUGGAGAGCGGCGCGGCCACGCCGUAAAACACCCAACUUCUGAAUGUUGACCUCGAAUCAGGUAGGAAUACCCGCUGAACUUAAGCAUAUCAAUAAGCGGAGGA